RNAcentral lists this ribosomal RNA (429 nucleotides) under Bacteroidota bacterium. RNAcentral's name for it is "Bacteroidetes bacterium partial 16S ribosomal RNA". It matches the Rfam family "Bacterial small subunit ribosomal RNA", at positions 355 to 776 of the family's 1533-position model. The record is from RNAcentral. Lineage: Bacteria; Pseudomonadati; Bacteroidota.
UAGGGAAUCUUCCGCAAUGGACGCAAGUCUGACGGAGCAACGCCGCGUGAGUGAAGAAGGUUUUCGGAUCGUAAAGCUCUGUUGUUAAGGAAGAACGAGUGUGAGAAUGGAAAGUUCAUGCUGUGACGGUACUUAACCAGAAAGGGACGGCUAACUACGUGCCAGCAGCCGCGGUAAUACGUAGGUCCCGAGCGUUGUCCGGAUUUAUUGGGCGUAAAGCGAGCGCAGGCGGUUAGAAAAGUCUGAAGUGAAAGGCAGUGGCUCAACCAUUGUAGGCUUUGGAAACUGUUUAACUUGAGUGCAGAAGGGGAGAGUGGAAUUCCAUGUGUAGCGGUGAAAUGCGUAGAGAUAUGGAGGAACACCGGUGGCGAAAGCGGCUCUCUGGUCUGUAACUGACGCUGAGGCUCGAAAGCGUGGGGAGCGAACAGG